UACAGAGGGGGCAAGCGUUGUUCGGAAUUACUGGGCGUAAAGGGCGCGUAGGCGGCCUUCUAAGUCGAACGUGAAAUCCCCGGGCUCAACCCGGGAACUGCGUCCGAUACUGGAAGGCUUGAAUCCGGGAGAGGGAUGUGGAAUUCCAGGUGUAGCGGUGAAAUGCGUAGAUAUCCGGAGGAACACCGGUGGCGAAGGCGGCUUCCUGGACCGACACUGACGCUGAGGCGCGAAAGCUAGGGGAGCAAACGGG
This 253-nucleotide ribosomal RNA is filed under the name uncultured bacterium. RNAcentral's name for it is "partial 16S ribosomal RNA". It matches the Rfam family "Bacterial small subunit ribosomal RNA", at positions 524 to 776 of the family's 1533-position model. The record is from RNAcentral.